This is a long non-coding RNA of Glossina fuscipes, 438 nucleotides long. RefSeq lists it as uncharacterized. The record is from RefSeq and is a predicted model, not a curated record. The transcript has 2 exons. NCBI's taxonomy places the organism in Eukaryota, Metazoa, Arthropoda, Insecta, Diptera, Glossinidae.
AUUUAUAUAUUAAAAAAAAAUGAAUGAAUAAAUAAAUAAAAAAAAUUUAAUAAAACAAAAUUUUGUACAAUGCUUUUUCCAUACGUAUGUAUAUUCAUACUCGUCACAAUUGUUCAUGUGCAUUAAUUAGAAAUAUUUAAGAAAAAUUAAUAAAUAAAUAAAUAAAUUCAUUAACAGAAAUUGCAAUAGUUUACCCAAAGUAAAAAGGAAAGAAAUAUUAAAAUAGAAUAAAAUUUUAUUUUAAACAGAUUUCAAAAUAAAUGAAAUAAUAAAGAUUUCCUUAAAAAGUUCGUAUGAGUUCGUGUGCUGUGUAAAAUUAUUAUAAUAAUUGUUAAAAAUUAUAUUUAAAGCAUUGUAACAAAGCAGCAGCAAUGCCAUAAGUGGAUUAAAGACCACAAGGAAACAAAACGAAAGCAAAAAAAAAAGAGGAAAAAAAAA